CCUACGGGAGGCAGCAGUGAGGAAUAUUGGUCAAUGGGCGAGAGCCUGAACCAGCCAAGUCGCGUGAGGGAGUACUGCCCUAUGGGUUGUAAACCUCUUUUGUCGGGGAGCAAAAGCCGGACGUGUCCGGCUGUGAGAGUACCCGAAGAAAAAGCAUCGGCUAACUCGGUGCCAGCAGCCGCGGUAAUACGGAGGAUGCGAGCGUUAUCCGGAUUUAUUGGGUUAAAAGGGUGCGCAGGCGGAUUUUUAAGUCAGCGGUAAAAUCGUGGGGCUCAACCCCAUCCAGCCGUUGAAACUGGGGAUCUAGAGUGUGCGAGAGGUAUGCGGAAUGCGUGGUGUAGCGGUGAAAUGCAUAGAUAUCACGCAGAACCCCGAUUGCGAAGGCAGCAUACCGGUGCACAACUGACGCUCAGGCACGAAAGCGUGGGUAUCGAACAGGAUUAGAUACCCGGGUAGUC
This 458-nucleotide ribosomal RNA is filed under the name uncultured bacterium. RNAcentral describes it as "partial 16S ribosomal RNA". It matches the Rfam family "Bacterial small subunit ribosomal RNA", at positions 338 to 795 of the family's 1533-position model. The record is from RNAcentral.